Molecule: unclassified non-coding RNA, 508 nt
Filed under: Hevea brasiliensis (rubber tree)
Lineage: Eukaryota; Viridiplantae; Streptophyta; Magnoliopsida; Malpighiales; Euphorbiaceae
Source: RNAcentral
UGUAUGCAUUUGCAGAGCAUGGAAAUGAUCUGGGAAGUUCCAAGGAUGUCAAGGGGAACCCAACAGAGGUAUACAGGAGAAUGGGUUAUGGUUCAUCGUAUGGUGUUGGUGUUAAGCUGGGUUUGGUGCGAGCGGAAUAUGCUGUUGAUCAUAAUACUGGUACUGGAUCAUUGUUCUUUCGGUUUGGGGAAAGAUAUUGAAAGGCAGUCAGUUUCAUUGAUUUACUUGGUGCAUUUCGGCCAUUAGGCUUCUGGAAGAAACCAGCGGAAUUCUUGAUCAACUGAAAUUUUGUGAGAUCCAUAGAAUUAAUGUGUUUUAAGCAGCCCCCUUUUCCAAUAGGUUUUGGUUGGUCUUUUACAUCUAGUACUUUAAGACAAUGAGAAGAUUAAGAUGAUGUCUUAAUCGUCUCAUUAUUCCUUCAGAUUGCCUUUCUCUGAGCAUGUUAUUUUAUAUUUGAUUGUGCAAAACUCAGAACAAAUUUUUAUGAUCAAGUGAUUUAAUUUUCUCC